GCCCGGAUGGUGAAAUUGGUAGACACAACGGACUUAAAAUCCGUUGUCCUUUGGGACGUGCCGGUUCAAGUCCGGCUCCGGGUACCA
This 87-nucleotide transfer RNA is filed under the name Deltaproteobacteria bacterium. RNAcentral describes it as "tRNA-Leu". It matches the Rfam family "tRNA". Rfam says of the family: Transfer RNA (tRNA) molecules are approximately 80 nucleotides in length. Their secondary structure includes four short double-helical elements and three loops (D, anti-codon, and T loops). Further hydrogen bonds mediate the characteristic L-shaped molecular structure. tRNAs have two regions of fundamental functional importance: the anti-codon, which is responsible for specific mRNA codon recognition, and the 3' end, to which the tRNAs corresponding amino acid is attached (by aminoacyl-tRNA synthetases). tRNAs cope with the degeneracy of the genetic code in two manners: having more than one tRNA (with a specific anti-codon) for a particular amino acid; and 'wobble' base-pairing, i.e. permitting non-standard base-pairing at the 3rd anti-codon position. The record is from RNAcentral. Lineage: Bacteria; Pseudomonadati; Myxococcota; Myxococcia.